This 342-nucleotide ribosomal RNA is filed under the name uncultured Alphaproteobacteria bacterium. RNAcentral's name for it is "bacterial SSU rRNA". It matches the Rfam family "Bacterial small subunit ribosomal RNA", at positions 9 to 379 of the family's 1533-position model. The record is from RNAcentral. Lineage: Bacteria; Pseudomonadati; Pseudomonadota; Alphaproteobacteria.
GAGUUUGAUCGUGGCUCAGAUUGAACGCUGGCGGCAUGCCUAACACAUGCAAGUCGAACGAAGGCUUCGGCCUUAGUGGCGCACGGGUGCGUAACGCGUGGGAAUCUGCCCUUUGCUUCGGAAUAACAGUGGGAAACUACUGCUAAUACCGGAUGAUGUCUUCGGACCAAAGAUUUAUCGGCAAGGGGUGAGCCCGCGUAGGAUUAGGUAGUUGGUGGGGUAAAGGCCUACCAAGCCGACGAUCCUUAGCUGGUCUGAGAGGAUGAUCAGCCACACUGGGACUGAGACACGGCCCAGACUCCUACGGGAGGCAGCAGUGGGGAAUAUUGGACAAUGGGGGAA